Molecule: ribosomal RNA, 624 nt
Filed under: Triticum aestivum (bread wheat)
Lineage: Eukaryota; Viridiplantae; Streptophyta; Magnoliopsida; Poales; Poaceae
Description: partial small subunit ribosomal RNA
Source: RNAcentral
ACGGCCGUCUGCCUCGGCGGAUCAAUGGUGAUGCUCUUGUGCAAGGGCCCCCUGCUGAGGAUCUGGGCCUCGCCUCUCCACUGGAGGUACGCAAAGGAGAUCACCGCUGCCACGGCAUCAAAGGCCACCGGUGGUCGCAGCGCCGGCGACGUGCUCAUCAUCCUCAGCUGCGUGGCCUGGGCCGGAUGGCUGGUUCUCCAGAACAAGACCUCGCAACGGUUCGCAGCGCCUUACAUGAGCACCAUCAUCAUGUCGGUGAUCGUGGGCGUGGACUUCACGGUGGUGAGCGCCGCCGUGGACCGAGGCGCCUCCGUGUGGGAGCUCGGGUCCGGCAUCCGGCUCUACUCCGUCCUCUACAUGGGGAUCGUGGGCCAGGGGGCCACCUUUGUGGUGAUGACAUGGUGCAUUAAGCUGCGUGGCCCACUGUUCCUCUCCAUGUUCAAUCCCGUGGUGUUGGUGGUCUGCGCCGUGCUGGGGUGGGCGUUCCUCGGUGAAAAGAUACACCUCGGUGAUGCGGUCGGAUCGGUGCUUAUCGUGGUCGGCCUCUACCUGGUGCUAUGGGGAAAGGCCAGGGAGGCGCGCGAUCCGCCCCACGUCGAGGAUGGUUGUGGUGCCAGUGUGUGA